Molecule: ribosomal RNA, 957 nt
Filed under: uncultured organism
Description: bacterial SSU rRNA
Rfam family: Bacterial small subunit ribosomal RNA
Source: RNAcentral
CUCAGGAUGAACGCUAGCGGCGCGCUUAAUGCAUGUAAGUCGAGCGAUGAGGCCCUCUUCGGGGGGUACAUCAGCGGCAGACGGGUGAGUAGCACGUAGGUGAUCUACCCCAGAGACGGGGAUAACGGACGGAAACGUCCGCUAAUACCGGAUGACCUUGUCAGGUCAAAGCGACAAGGAAAGGCUCCGGCGCUCUGGGAGGAGCCUGCGGCCCAUCAGCUAGUUGGCGGGGUAAAGGCCCACCAAGGCGAAGACGGGUAGGGGGUGUGAGAGCAUGGCCCCCCACAAUGGGACUGAAACACGGCCCAUACUCCUACGGGAGGCAGCAGCAGGGAAUAUUGCACAAUGGACGGAAGUCUGAUGCAGCGACGCCGCGUGGAUGAUGAAGGCCCUCGGGUUGUAAAAUCCUUUACAAGGGGACGAGGAAGGACGGUACCCUUGGAACAAGUGUCGGCUAACUACGUGCCAGCAGCCGCGGUAAGACGUAGGACACAAGCGUUAUCCGGAUUUACUGGGCGUAAAGCGUCUGCAGGCGGACAGGUAAGUUGGGCGUGAAAGCUCCGGGCCCAACCCGGAGAGGUCGUUCAAUACUGCGUGUCUAGAGGGUGUCAGAGGGGAGUGGAAUUUCCGGAGUAGCGGUAAAAUGCGCAGAGAUCGGAAAGAACACCAAUGGCGAAGGCAGCUCCCUGGGGCAUACCUGACGCUAAGAGACGAAAGCUAGGGGAGCGAACAGGAUUAGAGACCCUGGUAGUCCUAGCCCUAAACGAUGGAUGCUGGAUGUGGGGCCAUAGCGCUCCGUGUCGAAGCGAACGCGUUAAGCAUCCCGCCUGGGGACUACGGCCGCAAGGUUAAACUCAAACGAAUUGACGGGAACCCGCACAAGCAGCGGAGCGUGUGGUUUAAUUCGAUGCUACACGAAGAACCUUACCUGGGGUUGGACUCUAGGUGGUAGCGAAG